GCCAAAGAUUAAUUUUUUUAAUGAAAAAUUAAAUCCUGAAUAAUAAAACAAUGCCACUCUAUGUAAACACUUCAGUUUCUUUAGUGCAGGGUUUUCUUCUCCAAUGAGGAACUGAGGCUUUUCUUCUCCAGUAAUGAAAUAAGGACUUUUUGCACCUAGAUCUACAGCUAGUAUAGGCAGUCAGUGGUUCACCUUCUCUAGGAAUUCCCAACAAUAAUCAUUAUCUUUGAAAUAGAGUAAAAUUGGCAAUUUGCGCGUGAAUUUAGUUUGGUUAAAAAUUUGACAGAGAAGGUCCAGUCUGAUAAUAUCCAGUUUAUUUUGUAUUGUUUGAGGGUUUCAAUGUUUAUAGAAGUGGAGGUAAUCUGCCAGUUAAAACUUCCCUUGCC
This is a long non-coding RNA of Lycium barbarum (goji berry), 386 nucleotides long. RefSeq lists it as uncharacterized. The transcript has 3 exons. Lineage: Eukaryota; Viridiplantae; Streptophyta; Magnoliopsida; Solanales; Solanaceae. The record is from RefSeq and is a predicted model, not a curated record.